Molecule: unclassified non-coding RNA, 387 nt
Filed under: uncultured fungus
Lineage: Eukaryota; Fungi
Description: partial contains 5.8S ribosomal RNA and internal transcribed spacer 2
Rfam family: 5.8S ribosomal RNA (bases 1-133)
Source: RNAcentral
UGGUUCUCGCAUCGAUGAAGAACGCAGCGAAACGCGAUAGGUAAUGUGAAUUGCAGAAUUCCGUGAAUCAUCGAAUCUUUGAACGCACAUUGCGCCUUCCGGUAUUCCGGUAGGCAUGCCUGUCUGAGCGUCAGCAAACACCCUUCGGGAGGAUCUCGCUAUCUCACCCGGUCUUGGGUCGGGGAGCCGGCGGGCUUGGGUUAGCCUCCCGUCCGCCCCCGCCUUAAAUUUGCUGUACGAACCCGAGCACCCUUCCGGCAUGGUCAAUGGAGUGUUGCCCCAAUCUUCCAGAAAGCCUGUCGGUGACCGCCUCGCGGCAUAAGACCAGUCGUCCCACCAGCGUGGGAUCGAAGCUUUGACCUCAGAUCAGACAAGGAUACCCGCUGA